This 1671-nucleotide long non-coding RNA is filed under the name Citrus x clementina. RNAcentral describes it as "Citrus clementina (C. clementina) long non-coding RNA (CCLE_LNC000587)". Lineage: Eukaryota; Viridiplantae; Streptophyta; Magnoliopsida; Sapindales; Rutaceae. The record is from RNAcentral.
CUCGCUUUCAUAAUCAUAAACUGUCAGAAGAUUUUUAACGGACAUGAAGGGGUAAGAUUCUGCUAGAAGUUUGAAAGCAGAUGUUCUGUUUGCUGUGAACACCAUACCGUAAUCAUUUUCUGAAAUAUUCAAAAAGUCCAUGAUCCUUUUCUUCAUUGCGGAUUCCAAUCCUGAUUCUUGCCCUCCAUGAAGCAGCUGUGUCUUCAGAUUCCCUGUCUUGUAUGACACACUAAAGAAAGGAAUAUCCAAAUUUUGAGAAGGCAAUGAAGGCCGUAAAUGAGAAGGAGAAGAUUCCUGUUUAUGCAACUGGUUAUAGGAAAACAAACCAAUACCGAAAUAAUCAAGGCAGGUAUGAUUGGAGAGCGAGAGCUGAUAGUACUCUUUUGCUCGUAUUUGGUCAAUUUGAUAUGUAUCAAAGUACUGAGGGUAGGCUUUUGUGAAUUCAGUUAAAGAUUGUUGCAAAGAUGGGAGAGACUCAUGGUUGGUGAAUUGAGUGUCUGGGAAGAUGGAGGAAGCAGUUACUGCUGCAAAGUCGCGGCGACAAUCCGCAGAAGUGUUUCUGGACUUGGAGACUUUGUGGAGGGGAUCAGGUGAUAAGCUGAAGAAAGGAGACGGACAGCAGCCACCGUGGGUGCAUAGGCAUGCUUGUGAGACCUCUCUCAAGCAAGGUGACUGCAUUUUCUCUCUUUCUUUUCUUCUUGUUUCUUUCAAUCAAAUUUCAUCGCUUAUAUGGAGCAUUAUUAUUAUUAUUAUUUUGUCUUUAUUGGCUUAGACAACAGCAUCUGUUUUACUUUGCCUUGAUUGCUUUCAUACUUGCUGGUUGAUGUGGGCAUGGUGUAAACCCAUUGAAUAAGUCUGGUUGAUGUGGGCAUGGUGUAAACCCAUUGAAUAAGUCUGGUCAAAUUUUGCUCCUCAUGACUCAUGAGCACUUCACAGUCACCAUAGUGCACCAUAGUGCCAUACACUCAAGAAAGUCUUGCUCAAGAGAAUUCAAAUUGAUCAUAAAGUUUGUCUAAUCACAAACAAUUCCCGUGUUUACUAACAUGUUUGUGAAACAUGAACAAUGGCGAUGAUGCAUGUGUUUAGAAAAUCUUAAUGAUAAAUUGUAAACUAUACGCCAUUUGGUAUCGUGUUGCUCUGAAGUUUUAAGAAUCAAGAAAAAGUUAAUAGAGGUUUGGUAAACACUACCAAUUGUCCAGUAAAAAUUAUUCGUUAUUAUUCUUAUUUAUUAUAUUUUCAAUAAUAGGAAAUGAUUAGUGAUAUUGCUAAAGUCAAGUAACAAAUAUCUUACUAAAUACUUGGACAACAAACCUUCUAAAACAAUAAAAUAGAAUAGAAUAAAACAAAUGGAGCCUAAAAGGAGUAGCUGGCAAGGCAGUUGUAAUGGCUAUUCUUUGAAGGUAAUAUCUGAGUUGUGUUGUUUGAUGGGAAGGAGGCGAAAAUUGAAAGCAACAAGCAGAAGUGGACGACAAAAGCCGCUUUUAUGUUGGCCGGGCAAUAGUAUCAUUGCUGUACAAAAAGAGCUUCUUUAUCAAUUAUAAUGCUUCUCAAUUGCUUCCUGUUGAAGGUUUCUGAAAUUGCUUGUAUAAAAAUAAUGGCCAUGAGUGCUGUCCUAUAAACUAUCAAAUGAUUCCCUGCCAAAUGUCAUAUCUUUUCCUGUAAUCACUCCGA